RNAcentral lists this ribosomal RNA (483 nucleotides) under uncultured bacterium. Its description in RNAcentral is "partial 16S ribosomal RNA". It matches the Rfam family "Bacterial small subunit ribosomal RNA", at positions 28 to 523 of the family's 1533-position model. The record is from RNAcentral.
GACGAACGCUGGCGGCGUGCUUAACACAUGCAAGUCGAACGAUGAAGCUGGAGCUUGCUCCGGUGGAUUAGUGGCGAACGGGUGAGUAACACGUGAGCAAUCUGCCCUUCACUCUGGGAUAACUGCGGGAAACUGUAGCUAAUACCGGAUACGAGACCUUGGGGCAUCCCAGGGUCUGGAAGGAAUUUCGGUGAAGGAUGAGCUCGCGGCCUAUCAGCUAGUUGGUGAGGUAAUGGCUCACCAAGGCGACGACGGGUAGCCGGCCUGAGAGGGUGACCGGCCACACUGGGACUGAGACACGGCCCAGACUCCUACGGGAGGCAGCAGUGGGGAAUAUUGCACAAUGGGCGAAAGCCUGAUGCAGCAACGCCGCGUGAGGGAUGAAGGCCUUCGGGUUGUAAAUCUCUUUUAGUAGGGAAGAAGCGCAAGUGACGGUACCUACAGAAAAAGCACCGGCUAACUACGUGCCAGCCGCCGCGGUAA